RNAcentral lists this ribosomal RNA (466 nucleotides) under uncultured bacterium. RNAcentral's name for it is "partial 16S ribosomal RNA". It matches the Rfam family "Bacterial small subunit ribosomal RNA", at positions 30 to 507 of the family's 1533-position model. The record is from RNAcentral.
CGAACGCUGGCGGCGUGCUUAACACAUGCAAGUCGCACGGAAAGGCCCUGCUUUUGUGGGGUGCUCGAGUGGCGAACGGGUGAGUAACACGUGAGUAACCUGCCCUUGACUUUGGGAUAACUUCAGGAAACUGGGGCUAAUACCGGAUAGGAGCUCCUGCUGCAUGGUGGGGGUUGGAAGGUUUCGGCGGUUGGGGAUGGACUCGCGGCUUAUCAGCUUGUUGGUGGGGUAGUGGCUUACCAAGGCUUUGACGGGUAGCCGGCCUGAGAGGGUGACCGGCCACAUUGGGACUGAGAUACGGCCCAGACUCCUACGGGAGGCAGCAGUGGGGAAUAUUGCACAAUGGGCGGAAGCCUGAUGCAGCAACGCCGCGUGCGGGAUGACGGCCUUCGGGUUGUAAACCGCUUUCGCCUGUGACGAAGCGUGAGUGACGGUAAUGGGUAAAGAAGCACCGGCUAACUACGUG